This is a long non-coding RNA of Brachypodium distachyon (stiff brome), 2262 nucleotides long. RefSeq lists it as uncharacterized. NCBI's taxonomy places the organism in Eukaryota, Viridiplantae, Streptophyta, Magnoliopsida, Poales, Poaceae. The transcript is spliced from 2 exons. The record is from RefSeq and is a predicted model, not a curated record.
GACGUCGUCGCCCCUCGCGUGGUCUCCUUCUCCCGACGCCGCCGCCCAAUGCGGCCGCCCGCCGUGGCCUCUCCUCUCCCUGGCGCUGCAGCCCGUCGCGCGGGAUCUCCUCCAUCCGUCGCCGUCGCCCGCCCUGCGGGGUCUCCUCCCCCGACGCCGCCACCGGCCGCCGGAUCUCCUCCAACCGAUGCCACUACCCGCCACGAGAUCUCCUCCCCGAUGCCGACGCCGCGGCGGUGCACCUCGCCGGAGAUGAGGAAGAUGGUCACGGGAAGCUCUGGAAAAAAAGAAGCCAAGGGAUUCAAUGAAAAAAUAAAUCAGACCUUACAUGUGGACCCGACCUGUCAGUUUCGUCGUCAAACUCGCUAAUUUGGUGGAUUUGGGUUUUCUAAAAGUAAUUAGUUCUGAAGUUGUGGUUUUUUUUUUGCAAACCCCUAGAGUUGUGCCCGAAUGAAACACUAGCCUCAAAAGGUGUGGUUUUGUGAAAUUUACUCUUCUUCUUUCAAUCGUCGGACUCCAGCAAACCUCCACUGUCUCCGACUACUGGCUGGCUACUGUCACCGAACUUACUGCUAACGCCACCCGCCAUCUCAUGGCCAAUUGUUGACUUCUCGUCGUCGUACUUACAGUAGGAUGCAAGCGAGAUUCGGCUUAUGCCACACUUUUAAACCACUUUGGAAGUGCCACUUCAAAUAUUUUACUCAAAAUUUGACUUUAGUGGAUUUUGGUUUAGAAGAACAACAUAAGCAGGAUUUCGGUUGCGUCCCUAACUCACACAUCGAUCCUUCGCGACAAAUCCCUAAGCCCCCGAAUGACCACCAAAUUGAUGUUGUCCUCGCUUAGAUUGCGCCACCUCGCCAGAACAACUUCAUAACCUGCUACAUAUACAAGUAGAUCAUGACAGAGAAAAAGUCCAAGGCCACAAUGAGCAACUAUUUUUACAUACAUGAAAACUUUCAUAGAUGGUGCAUAACAUUUUUAUUUUUGAAAAUAUUUCUUAGAAUCUGGGUGAACCAUUAGUUAAUGAACACGAACAUUUUAUUUGGCAUAGAUGAGCAUUUUUAUUACGCAAGUCCAAUGCAUUCCAAGAGAAACAUUUUUCAUGCGAAGAUUACAUUUUAUUGGUUGAAAUAAUAGAAACUAUGUGAACAUUUUGUAUAACUUUAAUUGAUAUACAUGAACAUAUCAAAAUUAUAUUCUUUUUAUUUACUCCCUCCGUCCCAUAUUAAGUGACUCAAAUUUGUUUAAAUAUGGACGUAUCUAUAUACUAGAAUACGUCUAGAUACAUGUAAUAGAAAGUCACAUAAUAUGAGACGGGAGAGUAUAAUUUUCUAAUUAUACAUGAACAGAUAUGAAUUUCAUGACUUUUAUAAUUAAUGUUCAUAUCAUUAAUUAUCAAAGAAUAAACAAAGGGAAUCAGAAAAUAAAAAUAAAAAAUAAAAAAUGAAAAUGAAAGAAAAGCACAUGCGGAACCAACUUGGGCCGGGCCCAAAUCGACAGGCCUCUUUGAUGCAACGGGUGGCGGAUAAGAUAUGGCGACGGACGGCAUCCACCGAUCUUUCUACUGCGAAUCUCCGCAGAUCCGCGCCGCCGCCGUUCUGCUAUGCCCGCUCAAAAAUGAAAAUGACAGGUGCCAUUUUCUGCGCCAAGGCGAACGUCGCCGGCACGCACAAAUUAACACGUAGCCAGCCUCCAUCGACCAAAUCAACCGACACGAGACAAAAAGUCACCGACGAGGAAACACAGCGCCGACGACCCACGGUACGACGUCUCUGUUUUCCGCCGACCGAUCGCUCGCAAGCCUGUAAGCCGCCCUGGACUGGAAAGCGAACUGCCCCGCACAGCAGGCCAGAUAGCAGCACGUACGUCGGACCAAGGCCCGACCAGUCCUCCCAAGUCCGAACUUGGCGUGGCGACACGAGUCUACUUCCAGCCUCUUAGUCAGCGUUUGGCCAGUUGCCACUAUCCUCAACCUGUCAACCAUUUUGUGUGGUUUAUAUACACCGGAACUUCCCACCAGAGUUGAUCGAAGGCCAUAAUUAACUGUAAGUUUGGUCAAUACAGUAGAACAUUCCUCGGUUACUGAUGCAGUCUGCUAGUGUAAUCUUCACGGUAACAAAAGAAACAACUCUUUUCAUUUCUAUUUUAAGGUGUCCAUCCAGGAUUGUUUAUUGCAUCCCCAAAGAGCCAUGUGCUUUUGGAUUUGUUGGAGUACUAUCUUUGUCAUUUCUAUUUUAAGGUGUGUCCAUUCAGGAUUGUUUA